Non-coding RNA from Podarcis lilfordi (Lilford's wall lizard), 77 nucleotides. Lineage: Eukaryota; Metazoa; Chordata; Lepidosauria; Squamata; Lacertidae. The record is from the annotation of a GenBank genome assembly.
GGGGAAAGACCGUAGCUCAGUAGUAGAGCAACUGCCUUGCAUGCAGAAGGUCACAAGUUCAAUCCUUGGUUUCUCCA